Molecule: long non-coding RNA, 831 nt
Filed under: Dasypus novemcinctus (nine-banded armadillo)
Lineage: Eukaryota; Metazoa; Chordata; Mammalia; Cingulata; Dasypodidae
Description: lncRNA (ENSDNOG00000052680.1)
Source: RNAcentral
GCUGGAACUGACUAAAAAGGGCACUGAGGCAACUUGUUGCGAUGAUGGAAAUAAUCCAAAUGGUUGGACAACACUACAUUUACGAAAAUCCACGAUACUGUACAUUACAAUGGAUGUGUUUUAUUACAUGUAAAUUAUAUCUCAGAAAAACCGGCUUUUAAUAAAAGAGAACUCAAGAGGCUCACCGACAAAGGCAAUGAAAACGCUGGCUUUCCAAUGUGAAGCAGGCAGAACGUAGACAAGGCAGGAGGGUUGGGCAGGUAUCCCUCUCCUCCUGUGGUGGCAGCAGCAGCCGGGGGACUCAGUUCCUUAAUGGCUUCCGCUCCAGCCGGAAGUCCCGCCUAUGCUUUGACUGACCUGCCACCUUUGCCCCUACUGCGAUAAUUCACUAUGUUGCAGUCUCAGAACCCUGGGUCCUAUCAACCCUACUCCCUACUCCCCGCGGGCGGGCACGACCUCUUCAAAUGCCACAUAACUGGUCAUCUCCACACAUCUCUGCACUUUACACCGUGUUUGCCGGCUUUACGAUAUGGCUGACGGGAAGGUUGGAUUUGGGACUGAGUCCUACUCUAUCACAAAUGAAGAAAAUCAGUGCCACUCUAGAGGCAAUAACAACGGGGAACGUCUCAUAAAGAGGACUUUAAAGUGAAUGUGCACCGUUUGUUGCUGUGGGCAAGGCCAACUGUGCCCAAGGACUUUGAAAGCCUCUGCAUUCUGAUCCUGGGUUGUCAUCUGCUAUGCAGAUUAGAUUCCCAAAGAUUCUAAACUGUGGCGGUUACCUCAUUGACAUAAAGGUUUGCUUUGUGGAGUCUUAUGCCAUUAGAACAAGGA